GGAUGCGGGGAGGAACCAGCAACCGGUCCUCAUCUCCAGGGACAGGAGAGGGUGGGAUGCCCUUGAAAUUCUGUCCCUGGAUACCACGGUUUAGGCAUGUGCUCUCUCACGCUUCUAGAGCGGGAGGGAUGGAAGCGUGCCCUGCCACGCCGCACGUGUGCGCUCCGCGGUGCCGUGACUCCCUGCUCUACUCGCUUCCAGAGCAGGAAGCCAGCGCAGGUGGGAUGAGAGGCAACAGCGGAGGAGAUGAGUUUGUCUUACUUCUCCUGCCUGCGGGAGCUGUGGGGCUGGCGGUUUGCUCAAGCUCUACGGAGCUAAAACACGCAGACUCUGCCUCCCGACUGCCCGGCUUUGGCGCGUUUGGUUUCUGCUCUGAGGAAGGUGCUGCUGCUCGAAUGCCUUCGUUCCCUGGCUGUUUUCCUUCCGGUUCAGUGUUUCACCUGAAAAAAAUUCUACGUAUGACUCUGAAGCUCGACAUUUUAAUUCCUGAAGCUGGGAGGAGGAAGGAAGGCACAGAAAAGGUAACACAACUGCUGCUGCUCUGGAAGCCACUGAAAUAGAUCAUUCCUUUUUGAUCUUCAGCAAAAAGAAAAAAAGACCCUAUGAAAAAAUGUCUAAUAUUCUCAAAUUGGAAGCCUGUUUACAUUGUACCAGGGUUUAUUUUUCAGUGUAUUCCUCCUUUUGAGCGACUUUCUCUACCCACUCUGCUCCUCUGUACUUGCCACAUUUCUCUGUGGAUACUUUUGCCUUCCUCAUUUGCAGUAUCCUGUCCCACUGCUGUGUGAAGUGAGUGGCUUUGCUGAUGAUUGGCCGAGAUGUUUUGUCUGCCAUCUCCUACACAGUCACAGGGGUCGAGGUGUGCUGAGUAUCAUACAGGUGUGUCGAAAAGGCAGUAUGGGCACUGGUAUCCACAGCUCUCACUGAAUCCACUCAGCUAUGAAAGGAAAAACUUCAUUUCUAGUCCUAUGUUAAGUGUUAUUCCCAGGUGAGAAGUGAAGCUGUAUCCAGGAAUUUACUUCUUCAGUUUUAUGGUGUUUAGUCAUCACAAAGCAUACCUUCAACUAAUUCUGAACUGCUGUGCUUGGAAGAUUUGGUUCAAAUGAGCAACCCUAAGCUGAACUAAAAUGUGGAUAUGUCAAUAAACUCCCUCAGCCACUAUCCUCACAUGCUGGAUUCUGCUCUGUGACCAAAUGUCUGUAGUCUUUAAGGCAUUCAUCCCAAGAAGCACUACAGAAGUAAGUCCAAAGCAAUGUAUCUUUUCACUGGUGUAUGGCAACUCUUAAAUAUAUCUGAUGCAGCUUAUUCAGAUCUGCUUUGAAUCAGAAGAACAGCAGGGAAGGUUAAAAUGCAUUUGCUUGUAGCAAUUUCUCUUUCUUUGAAAACAUAUGGUUCCAGGGGAAAGGUCUCAAAGUUAGCAGGAAAACUUGAGAAGAUUUCACUUCCCCACUAUACAGCAUGUUAUCCUGGGUCUUAUGUGUGAAGCUUGUUUUGAUUUUAUAUGAGGCAAAAGCGAGAAGUCACCAGCAGGUCAGCUGAAAUUUCUAUACCUUGAGAAAAAAGUCUUGAUCCAGUCUGACUUGUAGACAGUGUGAGUUUCUUGUUUGUUUAACUUUCAACUCAGGAUCCUCUUGCAAGCCUCACAGGAAUGUGUUGUCAAGACCUUUUUGCCUUUCUGGAAGUGUUGUCUUUGGACAUUUCAGAGCAAAGCACUGAAAGUUUUCUCAUCACCCAGAUAGUCCCAUAGCAGUCCACGUGUCUUGGGAGCCACUGAGCCACUUCACUGCAUACAGCUGAAGUAAACAGAACCCUUAGGUAUGAUGGACCUCAGUGCAAAGCCACAGACCCUGUGGGAAUGAAGCACUUCAGAGAGACACAUUUCAGUCUUAAAAACCUGCAGUAACCUUGGGAGAAGUUACUCACACCAACAGAUAAUCAGCUCAAGAGGAUUUCACUUACAGUGCUGAAACACUGACCCUCUCUGCAAGGUGAGCAGCUCUAUCUGGAGUAUCUUGAGAAGUUCAUCCCCCUCUGAUGGAAACCACCCAUGGAUGUGAUUCUUAUCUCAGUCUGGGCAUGCUGUCAGUGGAGGUAAAACUAGGCUGAGGACACAGCAGCUGAUCAGGGCUCCAGGGGGUCACCCCUUGCUGGAGGAGAAGCCUGGUGGAGCCUGAGCCUUAGAUGUGGGCUGGUAAUGCUGCAAGGAAGCUGAGAAGCAAUGCCAUGGAUUUCAGUAAGACAUGAGAGUCAUCCCUGGAUCUGCACCCGCCUGAACGCCAGAGGGGGAAGAUGCUGUUCCCUCCUCUAGAAAACAUACUGAAAGCCAUUCUUUUGAAGUUUCACGGAAUUCUUCUGGGGUAAGUCGGGCACCCACCUGAGUUAUGUAUUUCUCAAGCUGUCAAAUAUGUGGUUGUUUACCUCAGUUUUCUCAAAUAACCCCAAAUAUCCAACUCACACAAGAGCCCAAAUUUAAACUUCUGUUUUGGAAACCCUUGGCCACAUUUGUUUCCUGGUUGAAGUCUUAAGACAGUAAAAUGGUUUUGUUUUAUGAAAACAUUGCACAGUAGUUGACUAAACAAAGCCCAUUAAAUAAAAGCAAACUACUGGAAGCCUUUGCAGCCUUCCCCUGCUACAGCAGGAAAACACUCAUAUUGUUUUGGCCACUCGGUGUCACAUUUCAGGAUUUCUAACUGCCAGCUUUAUCUGUAAUAGUACUUGUUUACCAUGGUUAUUCAGAAUUGCAGAAGAAAGCAAGUCUGUCCUGGGAAGUGUCUUUUUCCUUCCUUCUCAAAUAUCAGGUGCACGCAAGGUAAUCCAGACAAACCUGGUGAGUCUUAACUAUGGUGGUCUAAAAAGCGAAAGGGCUCUGUGCCUGGUGCUGCUUGGAUGAAGAAGCAAAUCUUAAAUCUGUGCUGUGCCAAGGCUGGGAGGGGUGUUGGACUGGGCUGCAGCAAGCCCGAUGCAUCCAUGCCCAUGGAAUAACAUCUGAGCACAGGGCAAGUUGUGGAGGAGCCCAGUGUGGGCAGCCGCUGGGGCACAAGCAGUGUGGAAGGCUCAGACAUGGAUUUGGAUCUGGGCUUGGACGUUUUUAUGGUCUAUUUGGUGAUUAAAUUGUAUUUUAAGAUUCUCAGGACACCACUGUCUUUGGAGCCCACAGGGAUCACCUUUCUUCUGCAGGCUUGAGUCACCAUUCAUUGUUUGAUGAUUUGAUUCCUCUUGGCUGCCUUUGACGCUGUCAGCUCCACUGUAAUGUUUCACUGGCCUAGAAAAUGACAGGCGCCUUUUUGAGCAAGAAAGUUCAAGAGCAGAAAUAAAUUCUAUUUUUAAUCCUUCUUCUCAUUUUCCGUGGGUGACACAAUUUCUCACAGCACAGCAGUUCCAGGGUGUGGUGGUGUCACAGAGCUUGCCUUGCAGCCUGUUUUACAGAUCCUGACCUGUUUACAUGCUUUCCUCUACUUGAAAGUUUCAGGUUUGGGGGUUAUUGUACUACUAAUACCUGAAUGGCACUUUGAUUUAUCACAGUGGGUUGGCAACAGAUCUGUGGGAUGAGAAAAUACAAGCUAGGAAUUUAAAGAAGUACUCAAGCAUUAACAAAGCUGAACUGUGUCAAGUGGUGAUAAAUUUUCCACUAUACCCUUGAUCACCUUGUUAUUAAUGUCAUCAAUCUCUCUGUAAGAAGUGGCUCUGGGCAUGCCCAUAUGACCAGAUGUUCUGCUAAAUAAUUAAUCACUGGGUCAUGUUGCCAGAGUUUACUGCUUUCCAAUUUAAUCUUAGCAACUUACUCAUUCGUUUCUUUAUUUGGAAACAAAAAGCUUCACGGAUAAAAAUGAGUCAAAUAUACUGAUAUGUACACGUGUACAUUAGCUUGCGCUAGAAAUGUCUUCCCAUCUUUUAAAACAACACCCCAAAAUUAACAGUUGUGAGAAUGAUCACUUCAGGAACACAAGCUGUUUCUGCUGCCAGAACUCACAUCCCAGCUGGCUCUCCCUGCCCCUUCAGUAGUAACUCAGCCCUCUCUCCCUUUUAAGAGGGCAUUUAAAAAUGCCACACUACCAGGAUAUCUCUAGAAAUAAAACAUUACAAUGUCAGUUUGAUUGUUUAAUUAAAAAUUACCAGGGAUACCUGUCCCUUUGUUGAACUGGUAUUGUUUGUAGCUAAAGCAAAAUAAGUUCUAAGCAAACAGUUUAAAAAUAUUAUCUUCUCUUCAGUUACAAUUAAUUUAAUUUAGACUAGCACUGUAUUAACUUGUAGCAUUCAAUUAUUUAAUGAGUCAUGGAGAAAGUUUGCUAAUUAUAGAGCCAUUCAUUUUUCACAGAUUUGAAGGCGUACACUGACAUAUAUUCCAUCAAGACCAUGAGCUUUGUUCCAUCCAAACCCUUCUUUAAUGGUCUCCGUUAUUUCACAUAAGAAGUCAAUUUGAUUGUAAUUUAACCAUAUGUACUCUCCUAUACUACUUAAUUUUGCUCGUGUCCCUCCAGGGAUUUUUAGCUGAAGGCUCUUUUAUCUGUUAUAUCUGUGACACCGUUGGGUUUUCCCCCUCUAGCUUCUUCCCAAGAAUCAGUGGGCAGCAGCCUGCUCAUCAAGGAUUAAUGCCAGCCUUCCACACGUUUACCCAUUCAGACUCUCCUCUUUCAGUGUGGUUCAUGGUUUUGUUUUUAUUAAUUCCCCCUAGAUAUUAGUUAGAAUUGGCCAAAUAUAAGAUGGGCUUUGUGUUCUCUUUCCUAAUGAGUCAGUUGACUGUACUUCCAAAUCAGUAUUUUCAUAGGAUCACUUGCAAUUUUCCCUGCUAUUUACUGCUUGCUACUCAUUCUCCACUGUUGAACAAAACAUAUGGCAGUGUUUUUUUUUCCCCUUGACUGCAUGCCUGAAACUUUUUAAAAGGGAAAACGAGAAUAGUUAAUGAGCUUCUCCUACUGGGAAUCAAAAACCCUAACCAAACAAGCAUUUAUGAAUACACGAGUGUCGUUAGUAGGAGCCACGAAUAUUUUCACUGAUACUUGUCCCUGUCUGAAUGCUCUAGAAUGAUACAGCUACUUAUUUGCUGCCUUUAUUUCUGUUAGUUGCCUUUCUAAUGAAAAUAUAAAUCAGAUACUGUUUUAAUUUCCCAUCACUAUGCAUGGCUUGUGUAGGCAAAGUCACUGUCUCCCACAGUCACCAGAGCAUGUGUCUUGUGCAGUUUAAAUUUCCAAUUAUAAACAUAUAUUAUCCAUAAUUUUAUUGGUGACUGUUAUGUGUACUAUCUAUCCCCAAAUUCUUUGGUUUUCCUAUGGGAUACCCAGCAUAGACUUGUACAAGAAAAUUGUUAGUGUGAUACAUUACACUAGUAUCUUCCAAAGCCCUGCUCUGUAAAGUCUACAUUUAAGCAAACGGUGUGGUAAAAUCCCUGAUAUCGUGAAAAGCUUUGCCUAUGCUGUAUGUAAACAUCAGGAACCUAUGAAGAACCUCAAGAAAAUAGUGAAUACAUGUAGGAAUCCAUUUAAAUCAAUAUUUAACAACAAAGUUGUUGUUUCUGUAUAUGUGUGUACAUUUUUAAGCCUUACGGGUCUGUAAAAUUGAAGUUGCUUUAUCAGUGUAGGCUGCAGUUAUGUUUCACUUCUGAUGCUGAGUUGAAUUAGGAACCACAGGGAUUGCCAGGGACCAGGCUAUCCAGUCAGGGGUACUGUCUCCAGCAUCCACCAGCACCAAAUGAUACAGGGAGAAGCUUAAGAAAUGUCAUUGUAGACUAGUGGAUUGAACACAGUUUUGUCUUUUUAAUUGUAACUCCUUAGAAAUUAGUUUAAAUGCUAACAAAAGAAAGUUUGAAAACCUGUUAGAAUUUAAUAGUUAGUUCUAAGUAUUUUUGUUGUUAUUUGAAUGUCUUGCUCAUACCUAAAUUAUCUUUAGAUAUGGAAUGCACUGGACAGCUUUUUAGGACAAAAGAGAUGCUCUGUGAUGAUUAUGUGUGGUCCUGCAUGCAGGAAGACCCUGGCAGGCUUGGAUGGUUGGUAUUGGGAGGGCAAUUAAAAGUACUUCAGGUCCUUUGGUGUCUAACAGUUUGCCCACUCCCCAGUUACAGGCCUGGAGUACUAGUUUGGCUGAUGUAGCUGUUAUCUCCUGCAGACAAGCAGUAAGAACUGGGGGGUAUCAACACCAAAGGCCUCACAGUUUUUCAAAAAACAUCCCUCUGGGGUGGUAUGUCACCAACAACUCCUUAUUUACCCUGAAGACUGCUAGAGAUACAGCCAAUAGCUGGGUCUAUUUGGAGUAAAUACAGCUACUUACACAGCAUUUGGAUUUCAAAUCACUCAAAAGUUCAGGCAAACUUAAACCAUGCACACAGAUGCACCCUCUAAUAAAGGUAAGACUGAAAUACAAAGUUUACAACAAAUCUGUAUUUGAAGUUAAACUUUCUUUGGAAUCUCCUUCUCAUAAAAAUUGACAGUAUUCAGAUCUAGCAGUUUAAUAAGGAUCACAUUUAAUUUCAAGUUGUGGGCUCCAUGUAUUUCUCACGGUGAGGCUUUUGCCGAGGUGUUUUACCAGUCAGUCACUGGUGAUUUCCCAGGAGCAAACAAGAACAGAGGGUUCAGUGUGAGAUCUGACACUGAGCAGAUGAGCUCUGUGCUGUCCAGUGCUUUAUCUCCAAUCUUCCUUUACAUCAAAUUGCUUUUCUAGUUUUAUUCUGAACCUUCCUUGCUUUGAAUGAUAUGUGAAAGAUGGUGUGAUUCUGUAAUUGUGUGAUUCUGUGACACAAAUCUGGGACUCCUUUCCUUGUGCUAACAUUCACAUUGUAUUUAUUAACUUUAUCCUGUCUCUACCAAUAUAAGUAA
Long non-coding RNA from Pipra filicauda (Wire-tailed manakin), 6803 nucleotides. RefSeq lists it as uncharacterized. Lineage: Eukaryota; Metazoa; Chordata; Aves; Passeriformes; Pipridae. The transcript is spliced from 5 exons. The record is from RefSeq and is a predicted model, not a curated record.